Molecule: ribosomal RNA, 301 nt
Filed under: uncultured bacterium
Lineage: Bacteria
Description: partial 16S ribosomal RNA
Rfam family: Bacterial small subunit ribosomal RNA
Source: RNAcentral
CAGCCGCCGCGGUAAUACGCAGGUGGCGAGCGUUGUCCGGAAUUAUUGGGCGUAAAGGGAGCGCAGGCGGACAUAUAAGUCCAUCUUAAAAGUGCGGGGCUCAACCCCGUGAGGGGAUGGAAACUGUAUGCCUUGAGUGCAGGAGAGGAAAGCGGAAUUCCCAGUGUAGCGGUGAAAUGCGUAGAUAUUGGGAGGAACACCAGUGGCGAAGGCGGCUUUCUGGACUGUAACUGACGCUGAGACUCGAAAGCCAGGGGAGCGAACGGGAUUAGAUACCCGCGUAGUCCCUGUCUCUUAUAAA